CUCACUUUCUCACUUCCCGAACCCUAGGCUAAAACUCUAGGGAACUCACCGAAAACCUUGCACCCACUUUUCUUUCUUUUCUUUCUUUUUCUCUUGGAAGGAUAUGGACUUCCUUCUCACACACAAGACUUUUCACAUUCUAGAAUUUUUCUCAAAAAAUCUUCUUCUUGCAUGCCCCACUCUUCUCCUCCUUUUAUAACAACG
RNAcentral lists this long non-coding RNA (204 nucleotides) under Elaeis guineensis (African oil palm). RNAcentral describes it as "long non-coding RNA (EGUI_LNC057135)". The record is from RNAcentral. Lineage: Eukaryota; Viridiplantae; Streptophyta; Magnoliopsida; Arecales; Arecaceae.